CACGUAGGGCGCAAGCGUUGUCCGGAAUUAUUGGGCGUAAAGAGCUCGUAGGCGGUCUGUUGCGUCCGCUGUGAAAACUCGGGGCUUAACCCCGAGCCUGCAGUGGAUACGGGCAGACUAGAGGUAGGUAGGGGAGAAUGGAAUUCCCGGUGUAGCGGUGAAAUGCGCAGAUAUCGGGAGGAACACCAGUGGCGAAGGCGGGUCUCUGGACAGUUCCUGACGCUGAGGCACGAAGGCCAGGGGAGCAAACGGG
Molecule: ribosomal RNA, 253 nt
Filed under: uncultured bacterium
Lineage: Bacteria
Description: partial 16S ribosomal RNA
Rfam family: Bacterial small subunit ribosomal RNA
Source: RNAcentral